Molecule: ribosomal RNA, 1581 nt
Filed under: Triticum aestivum (bread wheat)
Lineage: Eukaryota; Viridiplantae; Streptophyta; Magnoliopsida; Poales; Poaceae
Description: partial small subunit ribosomal RNA
Source: RNAcentral
AUGACGGAGCGUGUGGUCAAGUCGUUGGUAUCCAUGUUGAUGAACAAGGCAACCAGCUUCCUGGUGGACCAGUACAAGGUGAUGGAUGGCAUGGAGAAGCACCAUGAGAUCCUGGAGCUUGAUAUGGCGGCAGUCUUGCACAUCAUCAAAGAACUGGUGAAAGAAGCUUUCUGGCGCGGAGUUGGUGUCUGGCUCGAGGCCCUCAAGAAGGUACCCUAUGAGGCAAACAAUGUCUUCGACGAGUUCAAGUACGAGGUGCUGCGGCGUGACGCCAAGAAGAAGGGACACUACAAGAAGCUUGGAUUUGAUAUCGUGAGCCUCUUCCCUGCCCACAACCCCGUCGUAUUUCGUUAUAGGAUGGGAAAGAAGUUGUGCAAGAUUGUGCACACCAUUAAGGUCCUUGUCGCAGAGAUGAAUGCCUUUGGAUUCAGACCAAUGCAGGAAGCACCAGCAUCCAAGCAGUGGCGCAACACAGAUUCCAUAAUUAUUGACCCUGAGAAGGAUAUUGUCAACAGAUCUAGAAACAAAGAGAAGAAGAAGAUCGUGAAUAUAUUGGUCGAUCAAGCUAGUGACAGGGAUCUCAUUGUCCUUCCCAAUGUUGGCAUGGGUGGGCUGGGAAAGACCACCUUUGCGCAGCUUGUCUACAAUGACCCUGAAAUUAAGGUGUAUUUCCAACUCCAGAGGUGGUGUUUUGCUAAGAUUGCAAGCAACAUCUGUCAGACCAAUGAGAUGGAUCGUGAAAAGGCAUUGCAAAACCUUCAAAAGGAAUUAGGUGGGAAGAGAUGCUUUGUUGUGUUCGAUGAUGUAUGGAAUGAAGACGCUGAUAAGUGGGAAAAACUCAAGACCUGCCUGAAGCAUGGUGCCAAGGGGAGUGCAAUACUGAUGACCACUCGUAAACUAAAAGUGGCUCACAUUAUGAAGAUGUGCAUUGAUGAUAGCCAUAACCUCGGAAAGCUACAUAAAGUAUUUCUAAAGGAAAUACUUGAGAAUAGAGCAUUCUGUUUGCAAAAACCAAAUGAUGUUGAGCCUGAGCUAAGUGAGGUGGUUGAACUGAUUCUGGAUAGAUGUGUGGGCUCUCCUUUAGCUUCCAAAGCCUUUGGAUCUAUGUUGAGUAUAAAAACUAGCAUGAAAGAAUGGAGGGACAUACUAACCAGAAGCAAUACUUGCAAUGAGGACACUUUACAUGUACUCAAGCUCAGCUAUGAUGACUUGCCAUCACACUUGAAACAGUGCUUUGCUUUUUGUGCAGUAUUUCCCAAAGAUUAUGAGAUUGAUGUGGAAAUAUUAAUCCAACUAUGGAUGGCACAUGAUUUAAUACCACUGAAGAAAGGUGAACUUCUUGAAAGGGUGGGCAGAGAAAUUUUUGAUUAGCUCACUUGGAGGUCGUUUUUUCAAGAUAUCAAGCUAAUCUCUCGAAGAAAAAAUUAUCAGCUCCGUUCUAGAACAGUAUGCAAGAUACAUGAUCUUAUGCAUGACAUUGCGUUGUCUGUUAUGGGAAAAGAUUGUCUUACUAUAGUUGAUAGGCCUAUUCAAAAGGAGUUGUUGUCAGCAGGCCCUACUCGCCACUUAUUCUCAUCCUGA